RNAcentral lists this ribosomal RNA (258 nucleotides) under uncultured bacterium. RNAcentral's name for it is "partial 16S ribosomal RNA". It matches the Rfam family "Bacterial small subunit ribosomal RNA", at positions 793 to 1055 of the family's 1533-position model. The record is from RNAcentral.
GUCCACGCCCUAAACGUUGAUUACUCGUUGUUGGCGAUAUACAGUCAGCGACCAAGCUAAAGCGUUAAGUAAUCCACCUGGGAAGUACGACCGCAAGGUUGAAACUCAAAGGAAUUGAUGGGGGCCCGCACAAGUGGAGGAGCAUGUGGUUUAAUUCGAUGAUACGCGAGGAACCUUACCUGGGGCUUGAAAGUUAGUGACGUUCUGUGAAAGCAGAAUUCCCUUCGGGGCACAAACUAGGUGCUGCAUGGCUGUCGU